GACAACGGGAUCAUGGAGGCGGCGGCGGAGGCGGCGGCGGAGGGAAGGUGAGCCCCAGUGUCCUCCUCGCUGCAAGCCGGAGCCAGCGACCGCGCAGCGCUCACCCCCUGGUCUCAGCUCAGGAACCAAGGGACCCAGCAGGCCAGAAAAAACACUGAAAUGAGUCCUGCUGUUUUCUGGAAUUGAUCAGUAGUGAAAGCCCAGCUGAUGGCAGCAGAAGAGACAAAAUAGAUGCAAAGCAGAAAAGAAAAUAAACAUCCUCCCCCCACAACUCUGGAAUUCCACAAGUUCAGCCACCAGGUUCCAGAUGCCAGCAAGAUGCUGACCAGACUUCCCUGGACAGAUGAUCCCAUCAAUGUGUACUGGAGCUCCACUUCCCCAGAGCCCCACCCUACUAGGGAAAGAGAGAGGCAGACUGGGAGUAUGGAUUGACCAGUCAACGCCCAUGUUCAGUGGGGAAGCAACUACAGAAGCCAGACCUUCCACCCUCUGCAACCCACAAGGACCCUGGAUCCAUACUCCCAGAAAGAUAUAGAGAAUAGGAAGGCUAUCAGGGGAGGGGAUGGGAUAUGGAGAUCGGGUUAUGGGAAUUGUGAGGAAUUGUACCCCUCUUAU
Long non-coding RNA from Erinaceus europaeus (western European hedgehog), 615 nucleotides. RefSeq lists it as uncharacterized. NCBI's taxonomy places the organism in Eukaryota, Metazoa, Chordata, Mammalia, Eulipotyphla, Erinaceidae. The record is from RefSeq and is a predicted model, not a curated record. The transcript is spliced from 3 exons.